GCCAAUGUAGCUCAGCCUGGCUAGAGCAUCUGCCUUGUAAGCAGAAGGUCGGGGGUCCAAAUCCCCCCAUUGGCU
Molecule: non-coding RNA, 75 nt
Organism: Thaumarchaeota archaeon 13_1_20CM_2_39_11
Lineage: Archaea; Thermoproteati; Nitrososphaerota
Source: Rfam